RNAcentral lists this transfer RNA (75 nucleotides) under Ixodes scapularis (black-legged tick). Its description in RNAcentral is "tRNA-Thr for anticodon UGU". It matches the Rfam family "tRNA". From Rfam's summary of the family: Transfer RNA (tRNA) molecules are approximately 80 nucleotides in length. The record is from RNAcentral. Lineage: Eukaryota; Metazoa; Arthropoda; Arachnida; Ixodida; Ixodidae.
CCCUGGUUAGCUCAGUUGGUAGAGCGCUCCACCUGUAAUGGAGAGAGUUCCUGUGUUCGAUACCCCGACCAGGCG